RNAcentral lists this long non-coding RNA (227 nucleotides) under Lonchura striata (white-rumped munia). Its description in RNAcentral is "domestica (Bengalese finch) lncRNA (ENSLSDG00000000891.1)". The record is from RNAcentral. Lineage: Eukaryota; Metazoa; Chordata; Aves; Passeriformes; Estrildidae.
GCUCCCAGUUUGGCUCCAAGGCCUCCCCCAGUCCCUCCCAGUAUAACCCAGUCCCUCCCAGUAUAACCCAGUCCAUCCCAUUCCCUCCCAGUUUGUCCCAGUUCCAUCCCAGUCCAUCCCAGUCCGUCCCAGUUUGUCCCAGUUCCCACCCGGCCUCAUCGCCGCUUUCUCCACGCGGGGCUCGCGCGCCUCUGCCGGAACGGGAAGUGACGUCACAAAUAACGGGA